RNAcentral lists this ribosomal RNA (251 nucleotides) under uncultured Candidatus Cloacimonas sp. RNAcentral's name for it is "partial 16S ribosomal RNA". It matches the Rfam family "Bacterial small subunit ribosomal RNA", at positions 796 to 1041 of the family's 1533-position model. The record is from RNAcentral. Lineage: Bacteria; Pseudomonadati; Candidatus Cloacimonadota; Cloacimonadia (SeqCode); Cloacimonadales (SeqCode); Cloacimonadaceae (SeqCode).
CACACAGUAAACGAUAAUCACUGGGUGUCGGGUUCGUAGAGGAUUCGGUGCCGUAGCUAACGCGAUAAGUGAUUCGCCUGGGGAGUACGAUCGCAAGGUUGAAACUCAAAGGAAUUGACGGGGGCCCGCACAAGCGGUGGAGCAUGUGGUUUAAUUCGAGGCAACGCGAAGAACCUUACCCGGUCUUGACAUCUGCAGUAGGUUUCAGAGAUGAGGCCGUGCCGGCUUUGCCGGAGCUGCAAGACAGGUGC